GACGAACGCUGGCGGCGUGCUUAACACAUGCAAGUCGAACGCUGAAGCUCAGCUUGCUGGGUGGAUGAGUGGCGAACGGGUGAGUAACACGUGAGUAACCUGCCCCCUUCAUUGGGAUAACGCCCGGAAAAGGGUGCUACUACUGGAUAUUCACUGAUCUUCGCCUGGGGGUUGGUGGAAAGGUUUCUUCUGGUGGGGGAUGGGCUCGCGGCCUAUCAGCUUGUUGGUGGGGUGAUGGCCUACCAAGGCUUUGACGGGUAGCCGGCCGGAGAGGGGGACCGGUGAGAGAGGGGCUGAGAUACGACCCAGACACCGACGAGAGGCAGCAGUGGGGAAUAUGGCACAAAGGGUGAAAGCCGGAUGCAGCGACGCCGCGUGAGGGAUGGAGGCCUUAGGGUUGUAAACCGCUUGCGCUCAUGGUCAAGCCGCAACAUUGGUUGUGGUGCGGGUAGUGGUGAAAGAAGCGCCGGCUAACUACGG
Molecule: ribosomal RNA, 480 nt
Filed under: uncultured bacterium
Lineage: Bacteria
Description: partial 16S ribosomal RNA
Rfam family: Bacterial small subunit ribosomal RNA
Source: RNAcentral